This 253-nucleotide ribosomal RNA is filed under the name uncultured bacterium. RNAcentral describes it as "partial 16S ribosomal RNA". It matches the Rfam family "Bacterial small subunit ribosomal RNA", at positions 524 to 776 of the family's 1533-position model. The record is from RNAcentral.
GACGUAGGGCGCGAGCGUUGUCCGGAUUUAUUGGGCGUAAAGAGCUCGUAGGCGGCUCGUUGCGUCGGCUGUGAAAACCCGCAGCUCAACUGUGGGCUUGCAGCUGAUACGGGCGGGCUGGGAUUCGGUAGGGGAGACUGGAAUUCCUGGUGUAGCGGUGAAAUGCGCAGAUAUCAGGAGGAACACCGGUGGCGAAGGCGGGUCGCUGGGACGUUACUGACGCUGAGACGCGAAAGCGUGGGGAGCAAACAGG